RNAcentral lists this ribosomal RNA (668 nucleotides) under Vibrio cholerae. RNAcentral describes it as "partial 23S ribosomal RNA". It matches the Rfam family "Bacterial large subunit ribosomal RNA", at positions 2263 to 2925 of the family's 2925-position model. The record is from RNAcentral. Lineage: Bacteria; Pseudomonadati; Pseudomonadota; Gammaproteobacteria; Vibrionales; Vibrionaceae.
GGGUAGUUUGACUGGGGCGGUCUCCUCCCAAAGAGUAACGGAGGAGCACGAAGGUGGGCUAAUCACGGUUGGACAUCGUGAGGUUAGUGCAAUGGCAUAAGCCCGCUUAACUGCGAGAAUGACGGUUCGAGCAGGUGCGAAAGCAGGUCAUAGUGAUCCGGUGGUUCUGUAUGGAAGGGCCAUCGCUCAACGGAUAAAAGGUACUCCGGGGAUAACAGGCUGAUACCGCCCAAGAGUUCAUAUCGACGGCGGUGUUUGGCACCUCGAUGUCGGCUCAUCACAUCCUGGGGCUGAAGUCGGUCCCAAGGGUAUGGCUGUUCGCCAUUUAAAGUGGUACGCGAGCUGGGUUUAGAACGUCGUGAGACAGUUCGGUCCCUAUCUGCCGUGGGCGUUGGAAGAUUGAAGGGGGCUGCUCCUAGUACGAGAGGACCGGAGUGGACGAACCUCUGGUGUUCGGGUUGUGUCGCCAGACGCAUUGCCCGGUAGCUAAGUUCGGAAUUGAUAAGCGCUGAAAGCAUCUAAGCGCGAAGCGAGCCCUGAGAUGAGUCUUCCCUGAUACUUUAAGUAUCCUAAAGGGUUGUUCGAGACUAGAACGUUGAUAGGCAGGGUGUGUAAGCGUUGUGAGGCGUUGAGCUAACCUGUACUAAUUGCCCGUGAGGCUUAACCAU